AGAGUUUGAUCCUGGCUCAGGAUGAACGCUAGCGGCGGGCCUAAUACAUGCAAGUCGAACGGGAUUGGUAGCAAUACCAUGAGAGUGGCGAACGGGUGCGUAACACGUAUAUAAUCUGCCCAUUACUCGGGGAUAGCCUUGCGAAAGUGAGAUUAAUACCCGAUGGCACUGCGAGGAGGCAUCUUUUUGCAGUUAAAGAAUUUCGGUAAUGGAGGAAUAUGCGUCCGAUUAGCUAGUUGGUAGUGUAACGGACUACCAAGGCUACGAUCGGUAGGGGUUCUGAGAGGAUGAUCCCCCACACUGGUACUGAGAUACGGACCAGACUCCUACGGGAGGCAGCAGUAGGGAAUAUUGGGCAAUGGAGGCAACUCUGACCCAGCCACGCCGCGUGCAGGAUGAAGGCCCUCUGGGUUGUAAACUGCUUUUGUAUGGGAAGAAAAUGCUUCUGCGGAAGUGACUGACGGUACCAUACGAAUAAGCAUCGGCUAACUCGUGCCAGCAGCCGCGGUAAUAC
RNAcentral lists this ribosomal RNA (514 nucleotides) under uncultured bacterium. RNAcentral's name for it is "bacterial SSU rRNA". It matches the Rfam family "Bacterial small subunit ribosomal RNA", at positions 8 to 526 of the family's 1533-position model. The record is from RNAcentral.